RNAcentral lists this ribosomal RNA (229 nucleotides) under uncultured bacterium. Its description in RNAcentral is "partial 16S ribosomal RNA". It matches the Rfam family "Bacterial small subunit ribosomal RNA", at positions 568 to 796 of the family's 1533-position model. The record is from RNAcentral.
CGUGUAGGCGGGUCGGUAAGUCAGAUGUGAAAGCCCUGGGCUCAACCCGGGAAGUGCAUUUGAAACUGCCAGCCUGGAGUAUGGGAGAGGAGAGUGGAAUUCCGAGUGUAGAGGUGAAAUUCGUAGAUAUUCGGAGGAACACCCGUGGCGAAGGCGACUCUCUGGACCAAUACUGACGCUGAGACGCGAAAGCGUGGGGAGCAAACAGGAUUAGAUACCCCGGUAGUCC